Molecule: ribosomal RNA, 253 nt
Filed under: uncultured bacterium
Lineage: Bacteria
Description: partial 16S ribosomal RNA
Rfam family: Bacterial small subunit ribosomal RNA
Source: RNAcentral
UACGAAGGGGGCUAGCGUUGCUCGGAAUCAUUGGGCGUAAAGGGUGCGUAGGUGGUGGGGUAAGUCGGAUGUGAAAUCCCGGGGCUCAACCCCGGAACUGCAUUCGAUACUGCCUUGCUCGAGUACUGGAGAGGAGACUGGAAUUUACGGUGUAGCAGUGAAAUGCGUAGAUAUCGUAAGGAAGACCAGUGGCGAAGGCGAGUCUCUGGACAGUUACUGACACUGAGGCACGAAGGCCAAGGGAGCAAACGGG